This 75-nucleotide transfer RNA is filed under the name Clostridiales bacterium. RNAcentral's name for it is "tRNA-Met". It matches the Rfam family "tRNA". Rfam says of the family: Transfer RNA (tRNA) molecules are approximately 80 nucleotides in length. The record is from RNAcentral. Lineage: Bacteria; Bacillati; Bacillota; Clostridia; Eubacteriales.
UGUGCGGUGGACUGGAGGUGGAUCCAGCUUGGUCUCAUAAGCCAAAUUACGUGAGUUCGAGUCUCACCCGCGCAA